RNAcentral lists this ribosomal RNA (582 nucleotides) under Haemogregarina sp. RNAcentral's name for it is "SSU rRNA". It matches the Rfam family "Eukaryotic small subunit ribosomal RNA", at positions 328 to 903 of the family's 1831-position model. The record is from RNAcentral. Lineage: Eukaryota; Apicomplexa; Haemogregarinidae.
GUAGGGUAUUGGCUUACCGUGGCAGUGACGGUUAACGGGGGAUUAGGGUUCGAUUCCGGAGAGGGAGCCUGAGAAACGGCUACCACAUCUAAGGAAGGCAGCAGGCGCGCAAAUUACCCAAUCCUAACAGCAUAAGGGAGGUAGUGACAAGAAAUAACAAUACAAGGCAAUUAAAAUGUUUUGUAAUUGGAAUGAUAGAAAUUUAAACACUUUCUAAAGUAUCAAUUGGAGGGCAAGUCUGGUGCCAGCAGCCGCGGUAAUUCCAGCUCCAAUAGCGUAUAUUAAAGUUGUUGCAGUUAAAAAGCUCGUAGUUGGAUUUCUGUUAAAAAUAACUGGUCUGCUUUUAAUUAAAGUGGUACCUUGGUGUGUUUUUAGCAUUAAUGUCCUAUGAAAUGUUUUUUACUUUAUUGUUAAAAGCAAUUUUCAGGAUUUUUACUUUGAGAAAAUUAGAGUGUUUCAAGCAGGCUAACGUUUUGAAUACUGCAGCAUGGAAUAAUAAAAUAGGAUUUUGGUUCUACAUUAUUGGUUUUAAGAACUAAAUUAAUGAUUAAUAAGGACGGUUGGGGGCAUUUGUAUUUGACU